UGAGGAAUAUUGGGCAAUGGGCGAAAGCCUGACCCAGCGACGCCGCGUGGGUGACGAAGGCCUUCGGGUCGUAAAACCCUUUUGGCAGGGACGAGUGAGGACGGUACCUGUCGAAUAAGUCUCGGCUAACUACGUGCCAGCAGCCGCGGUAAAACGUAGGAGGCGAGCGUUAUCCGGAUUUACUGGGCGUAAAGCGCGCGUAGGCGGUUGGGUAAGUCUGACGUGAAAGCCCCUGGCUCAACUGGGGGAGGCCGUUGGAUACUGCCCGGCUUGAGGGUGAUAGAGGAGAGUGGAAUUCCCGGUGUAGCGGUGGAAUGCGUAGAGAUCGGGAGGAACACCAGUGGCGAAAGCGGCUCUCUGGCUCACACCUGACGCUGAUUGCGCGAAAGCGUGGGUAGCAAACGGG
This 406-nucleotide ribosomal RNA is filed under the name uncultured bacterium. RNAcentral describes it as "bacterial SSU rRNA". It matches the Rfam family "Bacterial small subunit ribosomal RNA", at positions 355 to 776 of the family's 1533-position model. The record is from RNAcentral.